AUCCAGUUGACGAGUCCCAAAAAAGGACGAAACGCUUCCUGGAU
RNAcentral lists this non-coding RNA (44 nucleotides) under Schistosoma margrebowiei. The record is from RNAcentral. Lineage: Eukaryota; Metazoa; Platyhelminthes; Trematoda; Strigeidida; Schistosomatidae.